This 552-nucleotide long non-coding RNA is filed under the name Struthio camelus australis. Its description in RNAcentral is "lncRNA (ENSSCUG00000006550.1)". Lineage: Eukaryota; Metazoa; Chordata; Aves; Struthioniformes; Struthionidae. The record is from RNAcentral.
UUUAAAUCUUUCAGUGGGCAGAUAAUGAAGUAAAAAGCUCAUGAAACUCUUGUGGCUAAGUCACUAGUGAUACGUAAAGUGACUUCUUCUUGAAGAGUCUUCCUCAGGCAUUUUCUUUUCAUGACAUGCUGAAAUCUCAAAGUCUGGAACAGAGAAGUACACAAAGCCCUCUCCAGGAUGUACUGAUCAACUGCAAUGAAUCUCAUUCUUUAUCAUUAGAACAAAGUAAUGAAGACGAGUCUCUCCAGUUGUCUGAAAAUUCCUAUGAAUCGUGCUGGUUGAAUACAUAGAAGUCCAAAGAUGCACUGACAUCACAUGUUGGCAUAGAGAUCCCUGAGCAAGCAAGAACUUCCUGAGCUGCAAAUCUAAGCGGAAUAGGACUAUUCUGACUUCCGAUUCAGAGAGUGGUUCUUAUCUUCCUGCCUGAGGGUUUUACUAUAAGCAUCGAUAGCCUUGAUCAGGGUGAGUAAAAGGAUGUCCUCGGAUUUUAAGAAAUGAAGGCCAGCGCUAUUGUUGAAGGCCAGCGCACACUGCCCUGCUCCAUGAUUGGGG